GACGAACGCUGGCGGCGUGCCUAAUACAUGCAAGUUGAGCGCUGAAGGUUGGUACUUGUACCGACUGGAUGAGCAGCGAACGGGUGAGUAACGCGUGGGGAAUCUGCCUUUGAGCGGGGGACAACAUUUGGAAACGAAUGCUAAUACCGCAUAAAAACUUUAAACACAAGUUUUAAGUUUGAAAGAUGCAAUUGCAUCACUCAAAGAUGAUCCCGCGUUGUAUUAGCUAGUUGGUGAGGUAAAGGCUCACCAAGGCGAUGAUACAUAGCCGACCUGAGAGGGUGAUAGGCCACAUUGGGACUGAGACACGGCCCAAACUCCUACGGGAGGCAGCAGUAGGGAAUCUUCGGCAAUGGACGAAAGUCUGACCGAGCAACGCCGCGUGAGUGAAGAAGGGUUUCGGAUCGUAAAACUCUGUUGGUAGAGAAGAACGUUGGUGAGAGUGGAAAGCUCAUCAAGUGACGGUAACUACACAGAAAGGGACGGCUAACUACGUG
RNAcentral lists this ribosomal RNA (497 nucleotides) under uncultured bacterium. RNAcentral's name for it is "partial 16S ribosomal RNA". It matches the Rfam family "Bacterial small subunit ribosomal RNA", at positions 28 to 507 of the family's 1533-position model. The record is from RNAcentral.